GUGGGGAAUAUUGCGCAAUGGGCGAAAGCCUGACGCAGCAACGCCGCGUGAGUGAUGAAGGCCCUCGGGUCGUAAAGCUCUGUCAGUUGGGACGAUGGGUACGUUUAACAAACGUGCUUGACGGUACCAGCAAAGGAAGCACCGGCUAACUCUGUGCCAGCAGCCGCGGUAAUACAGAGGGUGCAAGCGUUGUUCGGAAUUAUUGGGCGUAAAGGGCGUGUAGGCGGCAUCGUGUGUCUGGUGUGAAAGCCCAUCUCUCAAAGAUGGAAGUGCGCUGGAAACUACGGAGCUAGAGUACCGGAGAGGGUCGCGGAAUUCCCGGAGGAGAGGUGAAAUUCGUAGAUAUCGGGAAGAACACCGGCGGCGAAGGCGGCGACCUGGACGGUUACUGACGCUGAGGCGCGAAAGCGUGGGGAGCAAACAGGAUUAGAUACCCCGGUAGUCC
This 445-nucleotide ribosomal RNA is filed under the name uncultured Corallococcus sp. RNAcentral describes it as "bacterial SSU rRNA". It matches the Rfam family "Bacterial small subunit ribosomal RNA", at positions 354 to 796 of the family's 1533-position model. Lineage: Bacteria; Pseudomonadati; Myxococcota; Myxococcia; Myxococcales; Myxococcaceae. The record is from RNAcentral.